AUCCAACUGACGAGUUCCGGAUAGAACGAAACACGCGUCAAACUGGAU
Molecule: non-coding RNA, 48 nt
Filed under: Schistosoma mattheei
Lineage: Eukaryota; Metazoa; Platyhelminthes; Trematoda; Strigeidida; Schistosomatidae
Source: RNAcentral